Paramuricea clavata is the source of this 1331-nucleotide non-coding RNA. Lineage: Eukaryota; Metazoa; Cnidaria; Anthozoa; Malacalcyonacea; Plexauridae. The record is from the annotation of a GenBank genome assembly.
GUUACUCUGAGUGCAUAUCCACACCGGGCGAGCUUGAAAAAUAUGCCCGGCCACGGUGGGAUUCGAACCUACGACCUUUGGAAUACUAGCCCAAUGCUCUUCCAACUGAGCUACGCGGUCAGGACGGUUCGAGUAAGUGAUAUUUCGGAACAGUAUCUAGUUCCUUCAAUACCAAUAUGUUCUAGUAAUAUGAAUUUUUUUUUCUCUGUGUUGGUGUUGUGUACUCAGGUGAAUAAUAUGUUUGCGAUGUUACUUUGAGUGCAUAUCCACACCGGGCGAGCUUGAAAAAUAUGCCCGGCCACGGUGGGAUUCGAACCUACGACCUUUGGAAUACUAGCCCAAUGCUCUUCCAACUGAGCUACGCGGUCAGGACGGUUCGAGUAAGUGAUAUUUCGGAACAGUAUCUAGUUCCUUCAAUACCAAUAUGUUCUUGUAAUAUGAAUUUUUUCUGUGCUGGUGUUGUGUACUCAGGUGAAUAAUAUGUUUGUGAUGUUACUCUGAGUGCAUAUCCACACCGGGCGAGCUUGAAAAAUAUGCCCGGCCACGGUGGGAUUCGAACCUACGACCUUUGGAAUGCCAGCCCAAUGCUCUUCCAACUGAGCUACGCGGUCAGGACGGUUCGAGUAAGUGAUAUUUCGGAACAGUAUCUAGUUCCUUCAAUACCAAUGUGUUCUUGUAAUAUGAAUUUUUUCUGUGCUGGUGUUGUGUGCUCAGGUGAAUAAUAUGUUUGUGAUGUUACUCUGAGUGCAUAUCCACACCGGGCGAGCUUGAAAAAUAUGCCCGGCCACGGUGGGAUUCGAACCUACGACCUUUGGAAUACUAGCCCAAUGCUCUUCCAACUGAGCUGCGCGGUCAGGACGGUUCGAGUAAGUGAUAUUUCGGAACAGUAUCUAGUUCCUUCAAUACCAAUGUGUUCUUGUAAUAUGAAUUUUUUUUCUGUGCUGGUGUUGUGUACUCAGGUGAAUAAUAUGUUUGUGAUGUUACUCUGAGUGCAUAUCCACACCGGGCGAGCUUGAAAAAUCAAGCUCGCCCGGUGUGGAUAUGCACUCAGAGUAACAUCACAAACAUAUUAUUCACCUGAGUACACAACACCAGCACAGAAAAAAAAUUCAUAUUACAAGAACACAUUGGUAUUGAAGGAACUAGAUACUGUUCCGAAAUAUCACUUACUCGAACCGUCCUGACCGCGUAGCUCAGUUGGAAGAGCAUUAGGCUAGUAUUCCAAAGGUCGUAGGUUCGAAUCCCACCGUGGCCGGGCAUAUUUUUCAAGCUCGCCCGGUGUGGAUAUGCACUCAGAGUAACAUCGCAAACAUAUUAUUCACCUGAGUACA